This 444-nucleotide ribosomal RNA is filed under the name uncultured bacterium. RNAcentral's name for it is "bacterial SSU rRNA". It matches the Rfam family "Bacterial small subunit ribosomal RNA", at positions 394 to 854 of the family's 1533-position model. The record is from RNAcentral.
ACGCCGCGUGAGUGAUGAAGGCCUUCGGGUUGUAAAGCUCUGUCUUUGGGGACGAUAAUGACGGUACCCAAGGAGGAAGCCACGGCUAACUACGUGCCAGCAGCCGCGGUAAUACGUAGGUGGCAAGCGUUGUCCGGAUUUACUGGGCGUAAAGGAUGCGUAGGUGGAUAUGCAAGUCAGAUGUGAAAUACCCGAGCUUAACUUGGGUGCUGCAUUUGAAACUGGGUGUCUAGAGUGCAGGAGAGGUAAGUGGAAUUCCUAGUGUAGCGGUGAAAUGCGUAGAGAUUAGGAAGAACACCAGUGGCGAAGGCGACUUACUGGACUGUAACUGACGCUGAGGCAUGAAAGCGUGGGGAGCAAACAGGAUUAGAUACCCUGGUAGUCCACGCCGUAAACGAUGGGUACUAGGUGUAGGGGGUAUCGACUCCCUCUGUGCCGCAGUUA